GUGGUGGGAUCGGUUAGUCUCUUUGAGACUAAUACGGACCGGCAAACGGGUGAGUAACGCGUUGGUAACCUGCCCUCGAGACGGGAAUAGCCUACCGAAAGGUGGAUUAAUGCCCGAUAGUCAUACAAAGCAUAUGUUUUGUAUGUAAAUACGUUAAGUGCUCGAGGAGGGGUCUGCGUCUGAUUAGCUUGUUGGUGAGGUAAAGGCUCACCGAGGCAUAUCAGUAGCGGGCGUGAGAGCGUGGCCCGUCACACUGGGACUGAGACACUGCCCAGACUCCUACGGGGGGCUGCAGUCAUGAAUCUUCCACAAUGGCCGCAAGGCUGAUGGAGCGACGCCGCGUGUGGGAAUGACGCCGAAAGGUGUAAACCACUUUUCUGGGGGACGAAUUCGUGACGGUACCCCAGGUAACAAGGGGCUGCUAACUUCGUGCCAGCAGCAGCGGUAACACGAAGGCCUCAAACGUUAUCCGGAAUUACUGGGCUUACAGGGUCCGCAGGCGGUUUAGUAAGUUGGUAGUAAAAUCUUCAGGCUUAACCUGGAGGCUGCUACCAAAACUACUAAACUUGAGGCUGGAAGAGGUGGAUGGAAUUCUCGGUGUAGUCGUAAAAAGCGUUGAUAUCGAGAGGAACACCGAAUGCGAAAGCAAUCCACUGGGACAAGCCUGACGCUCAGGGACGAAAGCAUGGGUAGCGAAGCGGAUUAGAUACCCGCGUAGUCCAUGCCGUAAACAAUGUGCACUAGCUAUUGGGAGUAUCGACCCUCUCAGUGGCGCUUUUAAAAAAGUUAAAGCGUUAAGUGCACCGCCUGGGGAGUACGGCCGCAAGGCUUAAACUCAAAGGAAUAGACGGGGGGCCGCACAAGCGGUGGAUCAUGUGGUUUAAUUCGAUGAUACGCGACGAACCUUACCUGGGCUUGACAUCCAGCUGCACGCCCUUGGAAACAAGGGAAGCCUUCGAGGGUGCUGGACAGGUGUUGCAUGGCCGUCGUCAGCUCGUGCCGUGAGGUGUUCCCUUAAGUGGGAUAACGAGCGUAACCCUUGUCGUAUGUUAAAUGUACAUGCGAGACUGCCGGCGCAAGUCGGAGGAAGGUGAGGAUGACGCCAGGUCAGCAUGGCCCUUACGCCCAGGGCUACACACAUGGUACAAUGGUCGGUACAACGGGCAGCCAACCCGCGAGGGGGAGCUAAUCCUUCAAAACCGAUCUAAGUUCGGAUUGCAGUCUGCAACUCGACUGCAUGAAGCUGGAAUCGCUAGUAAACGCAUAUCACCAACGUUGCGUUGAAUAUGUUCUCGGCCCUUGUACUCACCGCCCGUCACACCACGAAAGUUGGCAACACCCGAAGCUCCACGUAAGUG
RNAcentral lists this ribosomal RNA (1358 nucleotides) under uncultured bacterium. Its description in RNAcentral is "bacterial SSU rRNA". It matches the Rfam family "Bacterial small subunit ribosomal RNA". The record is from RNAcentral.